GGCGCCCUGUGCCCGCUCCCGCACCAGGACAAGGGAGAGAGUGAGGCGGCCUUGCCCGCAAGGGAAAAGCGAAAGGAGGAGGAGGAAAGGGAGCCUUGCUCCUUCCGUUUUUGGGCGGCGAGGCUGGAGAGGCGCGUGGGAUUGGCGUCGCCGCGUUGGCGGCUUGUGGCAUGCGGAGGCGGGGCCAUGGUGACGCAGCGGAUGACAGCGAAAAGGGAGGAGGGCUGGUUUGGCGGCGAGCGCGGACCAAGGCGACGACCUUGUCCAACGGGCGGUGAGGUCAACGAGGCAGAACCACUGUUUGGUGGCUUUGAACUUUUUGGUCCAGAUACGUUGGGAAGGCUUGUUGUUGGUUGGACUCAAGACAUAGGUGGUGUGUUCCAGCUGGACAAGGGAGAGAGCGAGGCGGCCUUGCCCGCAAGGGAAAAGCGAAAGGAGGAGGAGGAAAGGGAGCCUUGCUCCUUCCGUUUUUGGGCGGCGAGGCUGGAGAGGCGCGUGGGAUUGGCGUCGCCGCGUUGGCGGCUUGUGGCAUGCGGAGGCGGGGCCAUGGUGACGCAGCGGAUGACAGCGAAAAGGGAGGAGGGCUGGUUUGGCGGCGAGCGCGGACCAAGGCGGUCGACGUGGCAGGGGUGACGGUGGCGCG
RNAcentral lists this long non-coding RNA (643 nucleotides) under Oryza sativa Indica Group (long-grained rice). RNAcentral's name for it is "lncRNA OsMH63_03G000340". Lineage: Eukaryota; Viridiplantae; Streptophyta; Magnoliopsida; Poales; Poaceae. The record is from RNAcentral.